This 1004-nucleotide ribosomal RNA is filed under the name Enterococcus faecalis. Its description in RNAcentral is "bacterial SSU rRNA". It matches the Rfam family "Bacterial small subunit ribosomal RNA", at positions 56 to 1035 of the family's 1533-position model. Lineage: Bacteria; Bacillati; Bacillota; Bacilli; Lactobacillales; Enterococcaceae. The record is from RNAcentral.
UGCAGUCGAACGCUUCUUUCCUCCCGAGCUGCUUGCACUCAAUUGCGAAAGAGGAGUGGCGGACGGGUGAGUAACACGUGGGUAACCUACCCAUCAGAGGGGGAUAACACUUGGAAACAGGUGCUAAUACCGCAUAACAGUUUAUGCCGCAGGGCAUAAGAGUGAAAGGCGCUUUCGGGUGUCGCUGAUGGAUGGACCCGCGGUGCAUUAGCUAGUUGGUGAGGUAACGGCUCACCAAGGCCACGAUGCAUAGCCGACCUGAGAGGGUGAUCGGCCACACUGGGACUGAGACACGGCCCAGACUCCUACGGGAGGCAGCAGUAGGGAAUCUUCGGCAAUGGACGAAAGUCUGACCGAGCAACGCCGCGUGAGUGAAGAAGGUUUUCGGAUCGUAAAACUCUGUUGUUAGAGAAGAACAAGGACGUUAGUAACUGAACGUCCCCUGACGGUAUCUAACCAGAAAGCCACGGCUAACUACGUGCCAGCAGCCGCGGUAAUACGUAGGUGGCAAGCGUUGUCCGGAUUUAUUGGGCGUAAAGCGAGCGCAGGCGGUUUCUUAAGUCUGAUGUGAAAGCCCCCGGCUCAACCGGGGAGGGUCAUUGGAAACUGGGAGACUUGAGUGCAGAAGAGGAGAGUGGAAUUCCAUGUGUAGCGGUGAAAUGCGUAGAUAUAUGGAGGAACACCAGUGGCGAAGGCGGCUCUCUGGUCUGUAACUGACGCUGAGGCUCGAAAGCGUGGGGAGCAAACAGGAUUAGAUACCCUGGUAGUCCACGCCGUAAACGAUGAGUGCUAAGUGUUGGAGGGUUUCCGCCCUUCAGUGCUGCAGCAAACGCAUUAAGCACUCCGCCUGGGGAGUACGACCGCAGGUUGAAACUCAAAGGAAUUGACGGGGGCCCGCACAAGCGGUGGAGAUGUGGUUUAAUUCGAAGCACGCGAAGACCUUACCAGGUCUUGACAUCCUUUGACCACUCUGAAAUGAGACUUUCCCUUCGGGGACAAGUGAC